This 449-nucleotide ribosomal RNA is filed under the name uncultured bacterium. RNAcentral's name for it is "partial 16S ribosomal RNA". It matches the Rfam family "Bacterial small subunit ribosomal RNA", at positions 29 to 523 of the family's 1533-position model. The record is from RNAcentral.
AAUGAACGCUGGCGGCAGGCCUAACACAUGCAAGUCGAACGGAUCCUUCGGGAUUAGUGGCGGACGGGUGAGUAACGCGUGGGAACAUACCCUUUGGUACGGAAUAGCCUCGGGAAACUGGGAGUAAUACCGUAUGUGGUCGAGAGACGAAAGAUUUAUCGCCAAAGGAUUGGCCCGCGGUGGAUUAGGUAGUUGGUGGGGUAAUGGCCUACCAAGCCGACGAUCCAUAGCUGGUUUGAGAGGAUGAUCAGCCACACUGGGACUGAGACACGGCCCAGACUCCUACGGUAGGCAGCAGUGGGGAAUCCUAGACAAUGGGGGAAACCCUGAUCUAGCCAUGCCGCGUGAUCGAUGAAGGCCUUAGGGUUGUAAAGAUCUUUCAGGUGGGAAGAUAAUGACUGUACCACCAGAAGAAGCCCCGGCUAACUCCGUGCCAGCCGCCGCCGUAA